RNAcentral lists this long non-coding RNA (1737 nucleotides) under Sus scrofa (pig). Its description in RNAcentral is "lncRNA (ENSSSCG00050055530.1)". Lineage: Eukaryota; Metazoa; Chordata; Mammalia; Artiodactyla; Suidae. The record is from RNAcentral.
GGAAGAAAGAAGGCAGGCCAAGCUAACCCAGUUCUCCAGCACACAUUCAAAGGCAAGAGGAGUCUAAAAUAUCCUUGGUCUUCCCCACCCCACCCACAGUGUGUAAGUACAAUCAUAGCACCAAGUAUGUCUUUCUUUAUACUUGACCCAGCUGUCUCCCAGUGGUGCAGUGAGAGCUACCUAAGGAGGUACUUUGGUGCUUUGGAGAAAUGUAGAUCUGGAUUCAGCUCCCUGCUUGACUAUUUAAGAGUUGUGUGGCCUUGGGCAAAUUACUCAUCUCUAAGCCUUUGAUUUCUCCAUGGUAAAAGGAGAUAAUGAUAGUGUGUAAGGCUUUGAAAUGGUAAUCAAUCAUUUGUGGUACAUGUUCAGACAAUGCUCACUCUUACUAUUACUCCCAAUCCACAGCCCAGAAGGGUGGGCAGAUAAGUAGCUAACCGAGGGGAGGCUGGGGCAGUUGACACCUGCUGUUCUGAGUUUCCCUUGCCUGCUCCCUAGUGCUGGCCAAAGACCCUGGCUGGAGAAGCAGGGAAUCAGCCCUGGGCUGCCACGGUAAGGCCAAGGGUUAGAAGAUGGAGGCCUGGCUAACCAGGCCCAGGCUCUGCUCAACCCAGGAGGGUUCCAAACACCACAUUUGGAACUUCACCCUGUGACUUAGAGGUGGGAAUCUAUGUAUUUCCUAAUAACUCUGUUUCAAAGCAAGUUUACUUCUGACUGAGACAAACGUGGGUGUGGUGGGUUCCUUGUAUUCAAAACGAAACAAAAGAAAAGAAAACAAAGAGCACCCCCUCCCCCAAGCCCGGAAGGCCUGUAGACCUUUUCCCAGGCAAAAUGUGCGAAAAGAGGAGGGAGCGCCUUUGUGGGUGCUGUCCUGAUUUAGAGCUUAGGAGCACAGCCCUCUCCAGCCCUCCUCAAGUCUGAGGUUCCAAGCUGUUAAAAGCACUGGGGUCCCAGGGGCGGGGUGGAUGAGAUUUGUUCAGCCCAUCCCCAGUCUCAGCGGCUUGCUCAGCCGGUCCCGCGCAGGGGAGGACCAGAGCACCGCUGGGUUGGACGCACCCCACCCGGGGAAGCACCCGCUCUCCCUGCCGGAAUCCCUGGAAUGUCGCCGGUCCAGGAAGUGUCUAUCCGGGCUCUAUGCAGAGGGAGGGGUUAAAACGUGGAAUUUCUCGGGGUGCUUUUGCACAUAUUCCCCUCAAGCUUUUCAGCCCCAUGAAGUUGAAGCUCACGGGGGUGAGAAGGAAGCCGCCUACUUCUUCCCCUGGCCGACUUUGUCUCAGGAAGGUUCGCAAUCCCUGCUCUUGCCAAAAUAAGUUAUUAUGCAAGGAAACAGGAAAUCUUGGUCAAAUUACCAGCCCAGGGUCCACAACAUAGAGAUUAGGAACAGAUUCAGCAAACGGAAACAAGGUAAGCAACAAAAAGUGAUCAUAUCCCAAUCAUCAAAGGUAGGACUCCAGAUCUGUUGAUCUGGAGUCAAGGAGAAAAGGGGAAACUAUUUAGGUUCAAGAAGUAGGGCUUGAAAGGGGACUUAUCAGUGGAGACUUCAAGAAUAUCUGGUAGUAUUUGUUCACCCUACCCUGGUUUGUAUGUGAGUAAUCCUUGCCCUGCCCAUUACCCAAAAGGAUUCUGAUCUGAAGACUAAUAACUAUAUUUUAGAACAAAAAUACCCUCAAUUUUAUGUUAAGCAUUCAUUAAAAUAAGUCACAUAAUAAAGUUGAUCUGUAUCAUGAGGGAGAUAUAUCA